This is an RNA transcript of Gavialis gangeticus (Gharial), 1283 nucleotides long. It is a transcript of the gene named integumentary mucin C.1-like, with no coding region annotated. NCBI's taxonomy places the organism in Eukaryota, Metazoa, Chordata, Crocodylia, Gavialidae. The transcript is spliced from 4 exons. The record is from RefSeq and is a predicted model, not a curated record.
CCCAAAGCACCACUCCCAUGGCCAGCAAUGCCACCAGCACCACUGCAGUACAGGUUUCUCACAACUCCACAGCAGAAAGGACAACGACAGCUGGCACCACGAUGGCAACAGUGCGCAGUACAACCGCACAUGUUACCCCCCUUGUAACUACAGCCGCUUCUACCACCCGCACCACCGCGGCACCCGAGACCAGCGAGACGGCCCACGCUACCAUGUCGCCCUCUGGAACCACAACAGCUAGGAUGACAACUGCGCAGGGCACCGCUGCACCAGCCCAGAACGCAACAACCAGUUGUGACUUCUGAAACAAGUGUUUUACCCUGGCCCCCGAGCACUCCCGCCAGCACGGCGCUGCAGUCACCCCCUGCGCUGCCCACCUGCCCGCCUCUGCCUGACAACGUUGUCGUGAAUCACCUCUUGCUGUCACUGGACGUAAACACUUCGCUCAACCUCACCGACCCUGCCGUCAGGGGCCUGAUUUUGUCGAAGCUUCUCCAGGAUCUGAAGAGCAAUUUCCCCUGCGCCAACUUCACCCUGCAGUGGAGGGGGGAAACGAAGGUGUGACGUGGACCUGUCGACCGGCAGCUGGGGCAAAGCCCUUGGGAUGAGAGCAGGGGGUUUUCCUGCUGCUGGUGCCUGGGCCUGGAAGCAGAGCCCCCCUGCCGGGCGUGGAGGCCCCUCGGAGGAGACCCUCUGCAUCUGUCAGCCCCAGGGCCGCAAACCUGUGUGUCCCCAAAAGCAAGCCCUGUAGGAGACUCCCCAGAGCCGGGACCGGCAGCAACAUCUGGCUGCUGCCUUAAGGGCAACGGUGGGGGAAGAGAGAAACCCAGCCAGUCUGGGCAGAGCGGGGCUUGAACCCCAGACUCGCCCACCGCAGGCAAGUGCGCUGAUUCCUGGGGUCCUGCCUGCUCCCUGGAGGCUGCUCCUUGAUCUCUGAGCCCCUGAGAUCGUGCAUGAAGCUGCAUCCUCGUUCUCCCACUGCGAGGUGCAGCCCCAAGAGAGGACGCUGACCGCUCCUUUGCGGGUCUGCCCGCGGCUGCGUCCCUGGCUACAAAAGAGAGGCCAGAUCCUGCCUUCCCCUGAGCAGAGAGGGGGGGCUUCUGGCCAAAGGGCAUUUCUGGCCAGGGUUAGGUUGUCUAGUGCAGGUAAAACAGCACAAGAAAACCAGACCUGGGUUCUCAUGGGGGACCAGAGGUGCCAGCCUUAUGGGACGCAGUCCUUGCUCCGCUGCAUGUUCAUUUAUAUGCUUCAGCCCUCAGAUAAAUUCCUGACUAGCUGGUCUG